UCCACCGACGACACCGCAUACCCGCCCGCGUCAAUCACGCCCCCCUUCCCCUUCCCCGCCGCACACCUCGCGACGCUGCCUUCCCCGACGCCCCCACCUCCCUCGCGACGCUGCCUCCCCGCGGCGCCCUCCGCCCCAACUCACGGCCCUUGCGACGCGCCGUCUCCCAUGGUUGCCGUCGCCGGCGUACCCCGAUGGCACUGCGACGGUUCUACGGCUUCCCCUCCAACAUCGUCGCACUCCCUGGCUCGAGAUCCCCUUCCUUCCCGCCGCCCGGCUCCUACCCCGACUUCCAGCGCCUCCUCCCCGCCGUGGACGCGCUCCGGACAGGCCAACCGCCAUGCCGGUUAAUGGAGAAUGGAGAUCCAUCCCGAGGCGGAUGAGGCGGACGAUGCCAGAUACGGGCUCGGAGUCCUUCGCCGCCGUGACACUGCAGCCGGCAGCCAAUCCUAAGGUUCCUCUCCGGGCCCCUUGACGCCGCGCUCAUAUUCGGGCCCCUCCUGGGCGCCGCCACCUCCGGUCGCAUGGGAGGCGCUGUGCCCACGCUCCACCGGAGCCUCUCCCAGGGGGCAUGUGGAGCGGGAGCCCAAGGUGCAUCUCGUGUCCGGCAGUCCGAAUCCAGAACGAGUUGCUCGCGACCCGACUGCGGCGGCGGCGGUUACAAGGCGCGCAAAUUCCGGCACCGGAUGCCACGACCCCCGCAAUGAUGUGCGGAUCCGAACAUGGGUGUGACCCCACUGGGAGGUAGCGGCGGCUGGUGGAGGGCUCGGAGCGGGUGCUGCGGACACGCCCAUGUACAUCGCGCGGGAGGCAAUCAAGCUGUGUAGGAAGGUGAGCGUGAAGACGAGGCGGAGUUGCAGCUUCUGCUGGAGAAGUGGCAACUGCAGCUUGCAAGAUUGGUGUUCCAGGAAGAGGAUGCUUUGAUUAAUGAGCAGGCUCAGAUAACAUUGGUAAGCUAGAGCAGAUCGAGAAGAUGUGGCAGGUUACCUGAUUGAUCAUUGUAGAUCAUUGUAUUUCUACAAUUUUGGAAAAGUUUUACCACUAGGACACGAAGAUCUACUUACAUGUUAUGUACAAUCUCCUAAUGGAUAUAAUGCAUAUGGUUUAGAAUCUUGAAAUUUCAGAAAGCAGAGAAUUUUAUAUUUUUACAGUCCUAUGUUACAUUGAAUGAGGAACCGGUCUGCAAGAUUGACCAAAAUAGAAAUGAAAGGUCCAUCCUAGGAAAGCAAUUUUGCAUUAGCUUUCUGAUUCGUGGACCUCCUUGAUUUUCUUUCAGUUGUAGUGUUGACACAGCAAAUCACCUAAUUGAGCACACUGACCAUGAGGGGCUCACGGCUGAGGUCUUGGGCUGGAGCAGAAAAUAUCGUCUUGGAGCAAAUGGCUUGUCUAGCAUUGUACCCAGCACCAAGAGCCUCAACAUGAAGAUUCUGUCCCUCGAUCCUCAACAUGCUUUGAUUAUAAGUCUAGAAAUUUUUGAGAUUCUAUUUUGCUUGCAGAUGCAGUGUUUAUAGCACACGGGUGUCGUGUCGCUUGUUAAUGCACAAGUUCUAUACAUACAAGGAAUAUUCAUGAUGAUCUGGUUGUUUCCA
Molecule: long non-coding RNA, 1589 nt
Organism: Panicum virgatum (switchgrass)
Lineage: Eukaryota; Viridiplantae; Streptophyta; Magnoliopsida; Poales; Poaceae
Exons: 4
Source: RefSeq, a predicted model, not a curated record